Molecule: transfer-messenger RNA, 352 nt
Filed under: Gammaproteobacteria (g-proteobacteria)
Lineage: Bacteria; Pseudomonadati; Pseudomonadota
Also listed under: 2 other names
Description: MEDG-81 sp003331625 Standard tmRNA
Rfam family: transfer-messenger RNA
About the family: Bacterial tmRNA, also known as 10Sa RNA or SsrA, is named for its dual tRNA and mRNA-like properties. Its role is to liberate the mRNA from a stalled ribosome.
Source: RNAcentral
GGGGGCGAAAUGGAUUAGACAUCUGUUUUUGAACCUAAAGUGCAUGUCGAGCUUGUAGCAAUCUCGUUAAAAAAAGUUACAAAACAAUUAGUUGGCAAUAAAGCAAACUACGCUCUAGCCGCAUAAUUUGGCUAGCUCUCCUUACCUAAUGUCUAUUAAGGUAAUUGAGAGUCGAUUAAUAGACUGCUUAGGAAGGUUUUUCUGUAACUUUUCUAAUAAGCUAAAACAGAAUACUUUUUAUUUAUCCUGCUCAUCGGAGAUUUAAUAAAGGAAUUUAAAAGAUGAAUCUAAACAUGUAGAUCUGAUGGGGAUGAAUUGAUGGACGCGGGUUCGAUGCCCGCCGCCUCCACCA